Molecule: long non-coding RNA, 4502 nt
Organism: Anolis carolinensis (green anole)
Lineage: Eukaryota; Metazoa; Chordata; Lepidosauria; Squamata; Anolidae
Exons: 2
Source: RefSeq, a predicted model, not a curated record
GGGGCGGGGAGGGGGAGGAGGAGGAGGAGCAGGGCGGGCUUGUUCUAGAGGAAACAGGCAAUAGACUCUGGAGAAGCGACCCACGCGUGACCCGAAGCGAGGUUUCGCGCCCUCGGCCUCAGGAGACCCCAGAUAAGGCUCGCCCUCAGUGGGAAAUGCUCUUAAGGACAGGGAAGCCCUGAUAAGGAGUCAGGAGCGCCUUGACUUCCAGAGAAGGUCGCUUUAGGGCAGGCAUGGGCAAAUUUGGGCCCUUCAGGGGUUUGGAUUCCAGCUCCCACCAUUCCUGACAGCCUCAGGCCCCUUCCUUUUCCCCCUCAGCCGCUUAAGCGGCUGAGGGGGAAAAGGAAGGGGCCUGAGGCUGUCAGGAAUGGUGGGAGCUGGAGUCCAAACCCUUGAAGAGCCCAAAUUUGCCCAUGCCUGUGUUAAAGUCACCAUAGUGAGAAACACUUUCACCAUGAUAAUCAAAAUCGUCCUCACUUCCAUAAAACCCAGCCAUAAGGUCCCUUUAAGGUCACUCUAUGUGGGAGAUGCUCUUAGGUUGCUUUAGGGUCACCAUAGGUCAGAAACACUUUGACCCCUAGAAAACCCUGUAAGUGAGAUAGAUUAUUUGCCCCAGACAACCCGGUAAUAAGGUUCGUUUAGGGUCAUCAUGAGUGGGUAAAAAACUCUUCGACUCUCUCUACAGGAAUAAAAAUGCCCCCCCCCCCCCCUCCUUUAAAAAUCUCUUGAAAAUACACUUAUGCACUUCAGUAUAUGGAGAGGAAGAAGACUAGGUCUCUUUUAAAUUAAUUCCAUCAGAUUUCUGGCUAACAUGGCAGCUAUGACAUAUUUUAAGUGAAUACCUAUUAUAGCCAUUUCUAAUGUAAUAAUAAUAAUUUAUUUGUUUGACCAGUCAUAUGACCAUUUCAAAGUGCAACAUAAAUAAAAACAAGGCAAAAAGGAUGGGAGGACAGCAGCUGACCUUCUGUUUGCCGUCAAAAUCUUAUUUUCCUGAUUCUUCUUUCAGGAAAUGUGCUCUUUUCUUGAUAGCUUUCAGGAUAAAACGGCUUACUCUGAUUAUGGUGGAUCUUUCUUGUCCUUCUAAUGUAUUUUAAUUGUCUUACAGGGUAUAUGUCUUAAUGUUAAAUCAUGUUAUUAGUGUUGUCAUGUCUAUUGGAAUAUUUUAUACUGUUUUAAUUCUUUUGCUACAAAUGUACAGUUGUUAUUAUUGUGAAUUACUUUGAUUUUUGUUGUACUUGUAUUAUUUUGGGCAUUGAAUGUUUGUCUUUUUUUCUGUGUGUAAACUGCCCAGAGUCCCUUCUGGGAGAGAAGGCAGCCUAGAAAUAAAGAUGAUGAUGAUGAUGAUUAUUAUUAUUAUUAGCUCCAGAAAUCCCCAGACAGGGUCACAUUAGGGUCACAUAAAUAGGAAAUGUUUUGACUUCUAAAGAACCCUGUGAUAGAGCUGCUAUGAGUGGGAUAAACCCUCAGCCCCAGAAACCCAGUGAUAAGGUCACUUAGGGUCAUCAUAAUUUAGAAACACCUUUAACCCCAGAAAAUCCCAUGCUGGGGUCACUUUAUCCUUAAAAAAACCCAUGAUCAGGUCACCAUAAGUCAAACACUUUCACAUCCAUGAAACCCUGUGACCGGGUUGCUCUUAGUGACAUUAGCCCAAUGAAUCCCUGUGAUAAGGCUGGGUUAGGGGCACCAUAAGUGAGAAACUCUAGUAGCCCCCAAAAACCCCAUCAUAGGGUCACUUUUGUGUUGCCAUAUGUGGGAAACAUGUUUUGUUGCACAAAACCUCAUAACAGGGUUGCUUUAGGGUCAUCAUAAGUGGGAAACACAUUUAGCCUCAGAAAGCACUGUGAUAGGUCAGUUUAAGGUCAUCCCUGAUAGAGUCAACAUAGGUCAGAAACAUUUCUCCUCCAUAAAAUUCUGUGAUGGGUAGUAUAUGUGGGAUAUAUAGCCCAAGAAAACCUGGUGAUAAGGUUGCUUUAGGGUCCUCAUAAGUCAAAAACAUUCAUAGCCCCAUAAAAUUUCACAAUAGGGUCACUUUAGGGGUGUUAUAUGUCAGAAAUACAGUUACUUCCAGAAAACCUUAUGAUAAGGUCAUUUUAGGGUCACCAUAAGUCAGAAACGGUCUUAACCCCAGAAACCCCUGAUAAGGUCACUUUAGGGUCACCAUAAGCAGGCAACAUUUUUAGUUUAUUAUAGGGUUGUUUUUGGGAUCACUAGAAGUUAGAAUCACUCUUGGCCCUAGAAAAACUUGCCAUAUGUUGGAAACAAUCUUGGCCGCAAAAAAUCCUGAUAGAGUCACCUUCUAGGGUCCCUAUAAGUUUGAAAUACUCUUAGCCUCAGAAAACCCCUGAUGGGGUCACCAGAAGUGGGAGAAACUCUUAACAUCUUUAGGAUGACCCAGUAAUAAGCUCUUACCCCGUGGUAGGGUUACUUUUGGGUCACUAUGAGUUGGAAACAGUCCCAAAAAACCCUUUCUAAGUUCAUAACCCCAGAAAACUCUUAGUGUUUCAUAAGUCAGAAAUGAUUUGAAAGCACAAAAUAACAACAGUCCAGUCAAUGGCUACUCAGCCACAUGGUCAUUGCAUUCUUGACCUGCUUGUGGGCUUCUCUUGGGGCUGUGGGACAAGAUGCUGGAUAAUAGAGUGCAGUAUUUAGUAUGUUCUAAUAUUUUCUUGCAUUCUGGAGAAAAAAAACAACAACAGGCCUCUCUUACAGCAAUUCACCUGCAGCUGAAGUGAUCUGGUCAACAUUUUUUAGAUGCUCUGGGCUGCUUGGGCUAAUUUAGCUUGCAGCUGCCUUAUAAUGCUUAAUUGCUGCAGACAGCGGAAAAGAGCCCUGUGUAUUGAGAUAUCAGAAAGAAGCCAGUGUAGUAAGUGAUUUAGGAACUGUUUUGACAGCAAGUUUCCAUAGUAAAUAUUCACUGUAAUUAUUUUGGUAUCCUCUUCCAACUUUCAGAAGAGUGGCUUCAGGAAUAAGGGAAUAUCUGGAUGGGAACUUCAAAGUGUCAACUAUCUGAGUAUAAACUGUUAUCCGUCUAUAUGAAAACUAUGGCUCUUCCAAACAGCCAGAAUAUCAAGGCAGAUGAUCCAUAAUACCUGCUUAAAACCGGGUUAUCUGAGUCCACACUGUCAUAUAAUCCAGUUCAAUGUGGAUUUUAUACAGCUGUGUGUAAGGGACCCAAAUCUGUUGAAUUGCAGGGUUAAUUGCUGACUUUUUGUUCGACUGCAUAUGUAUGCACAUUUAUCCCGAAAAUAAGCUAUGACUAUUAUUUUCUGUUGAUCGCCAAGAAGUAUUGUUUCUUUUGUUAUACUUAUUAAUAUAUAUCUUCAUUUUUUCUGAGUUAUGUAUUUCUAUAUUUUUAUCUUCUUUCUAUUACCGUAUUCUUAGGGCCCUUCCACACAGCCAUAUAACCCAGAAUAUCAAGGUAGAAAAUCCCACAAUAUCUGCUUUGAACUUGGUUAUCUGAGUCCACACUGCCAUAUAUUCCAGUUCAAAGCAGAAAAUGGGGGAUUAUAUUCAGCUGUGUGGAAGGGGCCUUUGUUUCAUAUUAGGUUUAAUUUCAGUUGGACAGCAUUUCCAACUAAGUUGCUCAAUUAGAUGCAAACAACUUUCAAAAGUGCAUAAAAAAGCCACAGUGUACUUUUUAUGAAAUUAACAGAGAUUUGAACAUUAGUGCAGUGAGAAGCACUCACGCAUAUAGACACAUACACUUUGCCACUUAGAAGCUGAUUUUCCUUUAAAAGAGACUGCUAUUCUUCUUGAAAGCCAUUUGCAUGUACUAUGUUUUUUUCUCCUUAGCAUUUAUCUCAGAUGGAUAAACUAUAAACUAUGAAAGUGCUGAAAAGUCCAGCUGAGAACUGUGUACAAAAUUCAAAUAAAACAAAAUUAUAUAGAUUUAGGGAAAUGACCUUAACACGCAACUGGGAGGUCAGAGCAACACAAACAUUUGAAUGCUGCAAAGACUUGAGUAGUGCAUGUUUAAUCUUCAUAUGUGGACCUGUCUAUAUGUGAAACUCAUAAUUUGAAGGAGGCCUUAUUUCAAGGGCCACUGUAUUUGCAAGGUCAAUUGGUGUGAAUGUGAAAUAUCCUCCUCUAAAAGGUUCAGGAAAGGAGAUUGCACCUGACCAUUAGGAAGAACUUCCUGACUGUAAGAGCUCUUCAGCAAUGGAACUCUCUGCCUCAGAGUGUGGUGGAGGCUCCUUCCUUGGAAGAUUUUGAACAGGCUGGAUGGUCAUCUGCCAGGGAUACCAUGUGGUCUCUUCCAACUCUAUUAUUCUAUGAUUCACCAUGUAACUUCUUUAAUGCCUUUUGGCUGCCCGAUGAAAACUUCAUUAAAGCCUGCAAAUUCUGAGCACAAAUGACUUUUUAUACCAAUUCAAUGCUGCUGUUAUGAGAGCAUAUGUAUUAUGCUUUUACUUUGUUAUAGGAGAUGUGUGUAUGUACGUACAGGCUUUUUAUGUAAGCUGUCAUGGGUAUUAAUAAAAAAUAGGAUAUACAUCUUCCAUAAA